CCUACGGGAGGCAGCAGUGGGGAAUAUUGCACAAUGGGGGAAACCCUGACGCAGCAACGCCGCGUGAGUGAAGAAGUAAUUCGUUAUGUAAAGCUCUAUCAUCAGGGAAGAAAAUGACGGUAGCUGCGUAAGAAGCCCCCGCGAACUACGUGCCAGCAGCCGCGGGAAUAAGUAGGAGGCAAGCGUUAUCCGGAUUUACUGGGUGUAAAGUGAGCGUAGACGGCAGUGCAAGUCUGGAGUGAAAGGCGGGGGCUCAACCCCCGGACUGCUCUGGAAACUGUACGGCGGGAGUGCAGGAGAGGUAAGUGGAAUUCCUGGUGUAGCGGUGAAAUGCGUAGAUAUUAGGAGGAACACCAGUGGCGAAGGUGGUUUACUGGACUGUAACUGACGUUGAGGCGCGAAAGCGUGGGGAGCAAACAGGAUUAGAUACCCCAGUAGUC
Molecule: ribosomal RNA, 440 nt
Filed under: uncultured bacterium
Lineage: Bacteria
Description: partial 16S ribosomal RNA
Rfam family: Bacterial small subunit ribosomal RNA
Source: RNAcentral